GAUGAACGUUGGCGGUGUGCCUAAUACAUGCAAGUCGAACGGUGAUGAUUUUGUAGCAAUACGACUGAAAUCAUAGUGGCGAACGGGUGAGUAACGCGUUGGUGAUCUGCCUCGAAGUGUGGAAUAACGUCCCGAAAGGGACGCUAAUACCGCAUGUGCUUUCAAUAUUUAGAAAGUUGAAAGUAAAGGAUUUAUUCGCUUCGAGAGGAGCCUGCGUCCCAUCAGCUAGUUGGUAGGGUAAAAGCCUACCAAGGCAAUGACGGGUAGGGGACCUGAGAGGGUGGCCCCCCAAAUGGAACUGAAACACGGUCCAUACACCUACGGGUGGCAGCAGUAGGGAAUAUUAGAAAUGGACGAAAGUCUGAUCUAGCGACACCGCGUGUGCGAUGAAGGCCUUGGGUUGUAAAGCUCUGUCAGGAGGGACGAAGCCACUCGGGUGAACAGCCCAGAGGGUGACGGUACCUCCACAGGAACGCCCCGGUAACUACGUGCCAGCAGCCGCGGUAAACU
Molecule: ribosomal RNA, 510 nt
Filed under: uncultured bacterium
Lineage: Bacteria
Description: bacterial SSU rRNA
Rfam family: Bacterial small subunit ribosomal RNA
Source: RNAcentral